Long non-coding RNA from Micropterus salmoides (largemouth bass), 422 nucleotides. RefSeq lists it as uncharacterized. The record is from RefSeq and is a predicted model, not a curated record. NCBI's taxonomy places the organism in Eukaryota, Metazoa, Chordata, Actinopteri, Centrarchiformes, Centrarchidae. The transcript is spliced from 2 exons.
GAAUAAUGAUAUCAAAUGGCUAAAUGGCUGUUCUUAGCUCUGUGCCCUGACCAACAGUUCAGCUUUGACGCCUACCUCCAACCUUGUUGUUCAUUAAUGCAUGAAGCUGCUCUCCUUCCAGCCCUUAUGGCCGCCACCCUUCCUGACACUGACACUGCAUUAAAGGGAGAAGAGAGCAAUGCUUUGGAAAUAAUGAGGCUUCCCCUACCUCAGCUCCGAGCAUGACACUCCUAAGGGAAACAGAGUGGUGGUUUGGCAGCAGCAGGGGGUUUCCUUGGAAAACAACAAGCAUCAAAACGGAUCUCAAAGAUCUGAAAGUACUGUUGUUCUGUAGUAGAAGUCCUCUCUGCAUUUAAAUUGAACUGUCACAGAAAGGUUGUGAUUUCUAUGUCUUUUCCUUUUUUAAAAGUGGCCUUCCUACA